RNAcentral lists this ribosomal RNA (216 nucleotides) under Glomeromycotina sp. RNAcentral describes it as "partial small subunit ribosomal RNA". The stretch from base 40 to 216 matches the Rfam family "Eukaryotic small subunit ribosomal RNA", at positions 686 to 864 of the family's 1831-position model. The record is from RNAcentral. Lineage: Eukaryota; Fungi; Glomeromycota.
GGGUCAGUAGGUUGGUCGUGCCACCGGUACGUACUGGCCUCACUGAUUCCUCCUUCCUGAAGAACCGUAAUGCCAUUAAUUUGGUGGUGCGGGGAAACAGGACUGUUACUUUGAAAAAAUUAGAGUGUUUAAAGCAAGCUAACGCUUGAAUACAUUAGCAUGGAAUAAUGAAAUAGGACGAUCGAUCCUAUUUUGUUGGUUUCUAGGAUUGACGUA